RNAcentral lists this ribosomal RNA (468 nucleotides) under uncultured bacterium. Its description in RNAcentral is "partial 16S ribosomal RNA". It matches the Rfam family "Bacterial small subunit ribosomal RNA", at positions 28 to 507 of the family's 1533-position model. The record is from RNAcentral.
GACGAACGCUGGCGGCGUGCUUAACACAUGCAAGUCGAACGGAAAGGCCCUGCUUUUGUGGGGUGCUCGAGUGGCGAACGGGUGAGUAACACGUGAGUAACCUGCCCUUGACUUUGGGAUAACUUCAGGAAACUGGGGCUAAUACCGGAUAGGAGCUCCUGCUGCAUGGUGGGGGUUGGAAAGUUUCGGCGGUUGGGGAUGGACUCGCGGCUUAUCAGCUUGUUGGUGGGGUAGUGGCUUACCAAGGCUUUGCCGGGUAGCCGGCCUGAGAGGGUGACCGGCCACGUUGGGACUGGGAUACGGCCCAGACUCCUCCGGGAGGCAGCAGUGGGGUAUAUUGCACAAUGGGCGGAAGCCUGAUGCAGCAACGCCGCGUGCGGGAUGACGGCCUUCGGUUUGUAAACCGCUUUCGCCUGUGACGAAGCGUGAGUGACGGUAAUGGGUAAAGAAGCACCGGCUAACUACGUG